This is an RNA transcript of Athalia rosae (coleseed sawfly), 5337 nucleotides long. It is a transcript of the gene named ubiquitin carboxyl-terminal hydrolase 35-like, with no coding region annotated. The record is from RefSeq and is a predicted model, not a curated record. NCBI's taxonomy places the organism in Eukaryota, Metazoa, Arthropoda, Insecta, Hymenoptera, Athaliidae. The transcript is spliced from 6 exons.
GGCUACAUAUAUCUAUGGUUGUAAUGUCAUAAAAAUCAUCUCUUUGGUUUUGAUCGUAGUCAUUCGUGUUGAGGUUAAAAAUAGUAUUUAUUAAUAACUGUUAAAUAGGAUAAGUCAUUGUUCGGAGAGUAACCAGUGAACAGAGAUAUUGAAAUAUUUGAAAAUGGAUAAUAAUCAAGAAAUGACAAGUGGGUUUGAGAAGUGCCUGCGUAUGAUCUUGUCAGAUACAACAGAAGAGAUUGAUGUAGGCUGGUCAAAGCUGACCGAGUUUGAAAGGGCGUCUCACGAUUUGAAGUAUUUACUAAGAGACGGAGUUAUUCUGCGAAAAAUAUUGAACGGUCAAGUAUGGGUGUCAAACUACUACGAAAUCUCGCGUGUCAUGAAUUGGUUCGCAAAAUAUUUCACCGAGGAUACAUUCGAACGAGAUUCACUGACAAACGAUGUAGCAGUGUUUAUCAAAACUGCCGCAACAACGGAUAUCAACCUCUUGGUAUCAAUCAUCGAAGUACUCCUAGCCCAUGAUUGCUAUUUACCGAUGUCUGCCAAUCACAUAAAACUUUGUGAAGCAAUUGUCAUAUGUCUCGCUACCCUGCGGAUGCCAACCGAACCGAAGAAAAUAUUAGAAUUUAAUGAAAAUGCUGCCAAGAUACAAAAUUUUCUCAUGCAUUUAUGCUCAAACGAAAAAUGCCCUGAACGAGUCAAUUUGAUAAUCGCAUGCUUCGCUGUCUUUUAUGAUAUCAUAUCUGAUACGGCUAGAACUGAGGAGCCAGGAACAGCACUGGUCAUCAUACUACAACUGGUGGAUGCUUCCGUAAUCCCACAAGCCGUUCAAUGUAUCUUAUCCGAAUCAAGAGGAGAUCAGCAACUUGUUCAAGCGUUAAAAGUACUUUGUUCAUGGUCAACGAAAUGGCUUCGAGGCGAUCGACUUGGUAUCUGGGUCAUGGCAUUCAUACAAGAACUAGAAGCAAAACGAAAGUAUUCCAUAUUAAAAGAAGUAACAGAUGCUACUUUAGAACGACUUUUCAUUGCAUUACUUUUGCCAAUGGGAAGGCAAAAUUUAUCAUCAAUUGUGUUCUAUAUUUUGGAGAGACAAAGUACACCACGCUUAUUUCAUAAAAUAUCAAAAAGAAUCAAGACCAUGAUGCUGCACCUCAUGAAAGAUGACUCAGAUUUAGGAAAGGAAUGUGUCCAGAAUAUCGUUGACGUUUCUACUGCUCUUAUGAUUCGGUUUCCUGGUUAUGCAUUCUACAAUUGUCUGCAGGAUAGCCUGCCAGUCAAACCUCGUAUACUUACUGUUCAUGAGAUAGUUAGUGGUCCUGUAUGGAUGGAUGAGCUUGAAGAAAUUGAACCAGUUAGCAUUAAAUCAAAUUCUGGUAAAGUUGGUCUCACUAAUUUGGGAAAUACAUGCUAUAUGAACAGCGUCCUCCAAGCAUUGCUCAUGACUAGACAAUUCUGCCAUGAGGUGCUCAAUCGCAAGGUGGAAAAUUCUGAGGAACUUGCAGACCAACCUGUUCUUAAAAAACUUGAGAAUCUAUUCGCGCUGCUUCUGUACUCAAAGAGAGUCUCAUUGGCACCCAAUGAAAUAUUACUUGCAUCCCGACCUACAUACUUCAUGCCUGGACAACAGCAGGAUAGCUCUGAAUUUUUAUGUCACCUCUUGGACGUUUUGUACGAGCAAGAGAAAACAUCAACCAUCCGGUGUGCUGGCAGUGAGAUGAACAAUGAAGAAAAAUCUAAGGAUGAAGAACAGAUGAGUGGGGAAACAGAAGAAACAGGAAAUGGUGGGCCAGUUAUCAAACGUUGGACGACUGAAGAAGAUCUAACCGAAGGAAUUGUCUUGCAACGAAAGACGCAGUCAUUAGCUGAUUUCAGCCAGGGUGAAGAUUUGGCCCAAACUCAGCAGCUCAGUGACUCUCACUCCGAUUCUACAGAUAGUGGGAUUCAGUCUGUCGGGGGUGAGGAGGGAAGUUUGCAAGUAUUUCUCGUUCACAGGGUAUUUGGCGGAGAGUCAAAGAUUACGUAUCAAUGUGCUCAAUGCGAUACAAGCUCCCACAAUACGGAUAAAUUCCGAGACUUGCAACUUUGUUUUCCGGCAGAGGUACCUGAGAACCAAGAGGUUUCGGUACAGGAUCUGAUAAAUUAUUAUCUGACGCCAGAGAAGCUGACAGGAGAAAACAAAUACCGUUGCGACAAAUGUAUGAAGCUUUGCGACGCUCAGAGAAUGAUAAAAAUCCUGCAGGCUCCCUCGCACUUGAUACUUACUUUGAAACAUUUUCACUAUGACCUUGAAAGUCGUUUGCGUACUAAACUGAGACACAAAGUUAUGUACAAUGAGAGUAUACAGUUACCAGUGUUGUCGCAGUCCGGUAUUACAACAGAAACGUAUAAUUUAUACGCUGCAGUUGUACAUUCGGGCUACAGCAUGGAUUACGGUCAUUACUUUACGUAUGCCUGUGAUUCCAAAAACACCUGGUACAAAUUCAACGACAGUUUUGUACUGCACAGUACAUUGGAAGACUUCAAAUCCUUGGAGCCUCCUGACACACCUUACAUAUUAUUCUAUGCGAAAAGUCCGUCCGUGGACAGCGUACAGCUCGAAGACCUUCCAGAAUUAUCGACUUUGAACAAACGUGUACAGGAUUUGAUAGCUAUGGAUACGAUUGCCUACAUGGAUGAGUUGAAGCAUCAAGCUGAGCGGAAACGAAGUCAGCAUAAUCGGCAACCGAUGCCACUCCUCGGACGGCAGGACAAUUCUGAUGACGAAAACCCACCUCCAAGCAGUUGUCGAAGCGCUGUUGGUAUUCCAACCAACCGUUUUCUAUUUUGAGACAUACACUACCGGCAGAAAUUCUGGCUAAACCUGUCGAAAUUUCUUGGCGCACUAAAAGUUGGACGGCCGAAUAAAAAAACAAGAUAAUCGGAUUUUUGGAACGGCGUUCUCAAAAGCAUAGAUUCAACUUCAUUUCGGUAUUUUUUUUUUUCGAAUUCACGAUUUUUUCCGGUCACGGUACGAUUUUUCCAAUGUGGCCAUUUUCCGAAGUUUAUUGCGCUUUAAAUUUUUUCCGCAUAUUCCGUGGAGAAAAAUUUCAUUACUUUUUUUAUGAAAAAUUAUAAUUGGUUAAUAAUUAUAACAGGUGUGUCAAGAGCUUCUUUUUCAUUAUUAAAAAAGUGUCCUGCGAUUUUUUUCGCGCCGUUAUUGUAUUUUUUACGAAAAAAGAUGAGUUUUCGAAAUUGUGGCAUAAUCUAAGAACUUUGGGGUUUUGGAGAAAAUGACAAGGAGAUGAAAAGUUGCACGGGUUUACACUGGGAUGCCCGGAGUUUUUUCACAAUUUUUUGCGCAAUUUUUAUUUUUUCUUAUUGUUGGUCGGGACCCCGAUGAUUGAAGGGGCUUCAUUGAAAAUGAUGGAGUUGAGCAUAAUUUAGUAAGAAAGAAAAUUUAUUCAUUGUUUUAAUUUUUAUUUUUUUCUAGAGUUUUUGCCAAAAUUAUUGUAAUAAUUCUUAUAUAAUUUUUCGGAAAAUAAUCAUCACAAUUUAUCGAAUGAAGCUCGGAGAAUUAUCGUAAGUUGAGUUGAAGAUCAAGAGCUAACGGACUGGAGACAAAAAAAUACUCGGCUAAUAGAAAAAAAAUAGUCUUCCAAGUCUCUCACCGAGCAUAUAAUUCAUCGAUAUAUUCAUUAUUUCAAGACAAUGUCAGAGAUGGGCUUUCGGACGGAAAACUUGUAUCAAAAUGAAAUGAAAGACUUGCAGAUUGACAAUUUUUUUCAUCCAACCAAGUUUUUUUCUUCUUAAAUCCGAUAACCCUCAUAAGACUGAAGAACUGAACUGACGAAGAUUUGAGUUGAAUUCAGAAUUCCAUUCGAUAAAUUUUGAUAAUCAUAUCCCAAAGAAUUAUACGAGAAUUGUUGCAGUAAUUCUAGCAAUACCUAAUUAAAAAAAAAUCAUAAUUGAUCAAAAUUCGAAUAAUGAACAAAUUUUCUGUCUGACUGAAUCGUCCUCGACCCCAUCAUUCUCAAAUGGAGUACCUCCAAUCAACAGACUUCCGACCAAGAAUAAAAGAAAUUAGCGUGACAAAUUCUGAAGAAACUCCGGGCCAUCCCAGCGUGAACCCGUGCUACAACUUUUCAUCUCUUUGUCAUUUUCGCUCAAGCCCCAUAGUUCUUAGAUUAUGCCAUAAUUUCUUAAACUCACUUUUUUCGCCAAAAAUGGAAUGAAGAGUAGAAAAAGAUCGCAGGGAACUUUUAAAAAUAUGAGAAAAAAAUCUUGAAAAACCCGUUUAGUUUUUCAUAAAAAAAGUUUACGAAAUUUGUUUCCAAUCAAUAUGCGGCAAAUUUUCAGAGGGCGAUAAACUUUGGGAAGUGAUCACAUUGGAAGAAUCGUACCGAGACCAAAAAAAUCGUAAAGUAAGAUAAACAAAUAGCGAAAUGGAGCUGAAUCCUUCCGAUUAAUCUUAAAACAGUCAAUUGCCGAAGCGUAAUUCGGUAUUCGGUUACCGGAGCGCCGCAACAUCUGAAGCGACGUCGUCAGGAGCGACAUCGAUGGCAGCAUGCACAUCCUUGGAGAAAAGAGAAAAGGAGCUAGCAAGGAGGAAGAGAGAGUCAUACAUCGGGAGUUCAGUUUCCAGUUUUAAUUGAGUAAUAACUCGGGAAGUAGUGUUCGGUUUGAUCCACAUAUUUUGGAGAGGUGCUUAAUAAUCAGAAGCUACCGGAGGACCUAUGACAUUGGGAAUUUCGUGGAUUCCGGAACUCGGGAAUUUUUUCAUAAGCAGUGGUGAGCAAUGUCUUUCUCGUGACCAUCUUGUGUUGAUGCUUCCCAUCGGUCGGCGCUUUCUUCUCAUCAAAUUUGAAGUGAUGGUUAAUAUGAAAGUAUGAGAAUCAAAUUCUUUCAGCAGAGAUCGCUUCGAAUUAGCGCGUACAAUGUGAAAAUAAGUUUUUUUUAUAACUCGUUCCUUGAACCCAAGGAAAAUUGACUCUUUUUUUGAUUUUCUGAUGAUCGAACUUUUUUGUUUCUGGAGAUAAUUGGAUUUUUCCGGAGGGAAUCGCUUUUUUAUCGUACAUACAAUACUCGCCGAUUAAAAUUGUCGGAAUUCGGUACAAAUUCAAGGAAAAUCUGAGACCACAGGUUUGGCGUUAUCUCGGGAUGAAAAGAGAGAUGGGAUAUUGGCAUCUCCGGAGAAUCUCUCUCCUGCAUUAAGGAAUUGAGACUCAUUGCUGCCUCUGCAUGAUUGUUCACUAGAGUACCAAACAAAAAACCAAAUAUUAUUCAUGAUACAGACAUAGAUCACAUACUUUGUGAAUUUCUUAGAAUUGUCAUCCGAUAAAAAACCUCUUCGAAUUUUCA